AGAGUUUGAUCAUGGCUCAGAAUCAACGCUGGCGGCGUGCCUAACACAUGCAAGUCGAGCGAGAAAGGGUAGCAAUACCUGAGUAAAGCGGCGCACGGGUGAGUAACACGUGGAUAACCUGCCUCGAAGUGGGGAAUAACCCCGGGAAACCGGAGCUAAUACCGCAUAUUCUGACGAGGUCUGCGGACUUUGUCAGGAAAGGAGCAAUUCGCUUUGAGAGGGGUCCGCGGCUGAUUAGCUAGUUGGUGAGGUAAUGGCUCACCAAGGCCACGAUCAGUAGCCGGUCUGAGAGGACGGUCGGCCACACUGGAACUGAGACACGGUCCAGACUCCUACGGGAGGCAGCAGUGGGGAAUUUUUCGCAAUGGGGGCAACCCUGACGAAGCAACGCCGCGUGGGUGAUGAAGUAUUUCGGUACGUAAAACCCUUUCGACGGGGACGAAACCGCAAGGUUGACGGUACCCGUAGAAGAAGCCCCGGCUAACUCCGUGCCAGCAGCCGCGGUAAUACGGGGGGGGCAAGCGUUGUUCGGAAUUACUGGGCGUAAAGGGCGCGUAGGCGGUUCGCUAAGUUGGAUGUGAAAACUCUGGGCUUAACCCAGAGCCUGCAUCCAAAACUGGCGAACUGGAGUACUGGAGGGGAAAGCGGAAUUCCUGGUGUAGCGGUGAAAUGCGUAGAUAUCAGGAGGAACACCGGUGGCGAAGGCGGCUUUCUGGACAGUAACUGACGCUGAGGCGCGAAAGCCGGGGGAGCAAACAGGAUUAGAUACCCUAGUAGUCC
RNAcentral lists this ribosomal RNA (780 nucleotides) under uncultured bacterium. RNAcentral's name for it is "bacterial SSU rRNA". It matches the Rfam family "Bacterial small subunit ribosomal RNA", at positions 8 to 796 of the family's 1533-position model. The record is from RNAcentral.